This is an RNA transcript of Solanum pennellii, 1544 nucleotides long. It is a transcript of the gene named protein CONSERVED ONLY IN THE GREEN LINEAGE 160, chloroplastic-like, with no coding region annotated. The transcript is spliced from 11 exons. The record is from RefSeq and is a predicted model, not a curated record. Lineage: Eukaryota; Viridiplantae; Streptophyta; Magnoliopsida; Solanales; Solanaceae.
CCAAACAAUAAAAAGGAAGUGUCCACCCUUAUCAUUUACUACCAAUUGGCACUAAGAUAUUUAUUUUCCCUUGUCUAUAAGAUCAAAAAAACACAACCCCAUCACUCCAAAUUGAACAAAAAUGGGAGUUCUAAGCUACUGCUACCUUCCAAUUACCUCUACAGCCACACCCAUAUCUCAAGAUUCUUCAAAUAACCCAACCCCAUUGUCAAUUCCAACACAAUCCAAGCAGAAAUCUGUGAAAUUGUCUAGUGGGGUGGCUGCUAAUGGGGACUAUGCUGCUGACCCACCCACUUCCACUACUAAGCUUAGGAAGUACUGGGGUGAGGAUGUGGAUCCUCUCACCUCUGAUGAUUUUAUAUGGAAUAAGGAAUUUAUGGGUCGCAUGAAGAAGUAUAUUCAGGAUCCUCAAGAAAAUGCCCCUGCUGCUGCUGUAAAGGAAGAGAUAUCAGGAUUUCUUAGCUUAAACAGAGUCAUGAAUCUUGACAGUUUGGAAGUUGACUUGACCAAGGAGCUAACUGCCCCUUCACAACCUGUUCUAGAACCAGAAGUCGAAAAUACUCAAGCUGGUUUUACUGCAUCUCAAAAAUGGCGGCCAGCACCAACACGACGCGAGCAGGAGAAGUGGGGCAAAGCUGCCAAGGCUGCAACUGGGGGCAGUGACGUGAUGUUGAGGGAAAUAAAACGUCCUCAAGGGGAUCCAAAGGUUAUGGCUGCUCAGUCAAGGGAACAGUAUCUUAAGUUAAAGAAUAAAUUGCAGCUCCUCACAGUUGGGAUUGGUGGUGUUGGUGUGAUUUCAGCUUAUAUCUCUUAUUCUCCUGAAAUAACAGUAAGUUACACUGCAGGGUUGAUUGGUUCUUUGAUGUACAUGCGUAUGCUUGGAAACAGUGUGGAUUCUAUGCAGUCAGAUGGACCCAGAGCACUUAUUAAGGGAGCUGUUGGGCAGCCAAGGCUAUUGGUUCCUGUUGCUUUGGUCAUGAUUUUUAAUCGGUGGAAUGGGAUCCUAGUCCCGGAGUAUGGAUUCAUGCACCUCGAGUUGAUACCCAUGCUGGUCGGAUUUUUCACUUACAAGAUUGCAACUUUUGUCCAAGCAAUCGAGGAAGGUGUAUCGAUUAUGGGAAAUAAAUCACAAGCUUAGCUCUAGUUUUUAUGAUUUUCCAUCAACCUCUGAUGAAAAUAGUAGUCACAGGGAAUAAUGAAAACCAUGCCGUGGAAUAACCAGUGAAGUUGUUGUCUAGGGGGUCACGGGUUCAAGCCCUGGAAACAACCAGGAGGAGAAAAAAGUUCAGGAAGACGUUGGAUUCGAAAAAUGAGCUACAACAUCUAUACUAAAUUUAUCACCGGAUGGAUUGAACAAAUCGAUGAUUUCCUCAUGUAAAUUAUAUGUAGAUCGUGCUCUCAGCUUCGUUGAUAAUCUCAAGUUUCUUAUCCCGUUGAAGGCUUAUGAAUCGUUUUUCACCAAAAAAAAUUGUGUAAAUUCUUCUAGUUAAUUACGAUUAUCCAUUUUGUGCCACUUUCUAUUACACAAGAGCAAGUUCGAUCAA